GGAGAAGCACAGAAGAAGGGGGUCAAGCUGGGAAGAAGGAAUGCAAACCAUUCGGGAACUGAGAAAAUGCAAGUAGUCGGCAAGGUGAUGUCCGAUAGACCAGCGAGGGUGGAUGCGCUGGUCAGUACUUUGGGAAGGAUCUGGGGUCCGUUCAAGGGGAUUGAAUGCAAAGAUCUUGGUAUGAACCAGUUCCUCUUCACCUUCCGAGAAAUGACAUGGAGAGAUAAAGCUCUGAAUAAUGGGCCUUGGAUGUUCAACAAAAGCUUCCUAGUGAUGGAGAAAUUCAACCCGGCCAAGACCCUGGAUGAAUACGAAUUCAGGUACGCACCAAUAUGGGUUAGAGUUUAUCAUAUUGCUAUGGGGUGGAUGAGUAGAGAAUCCGGUGAAGAAAUAGGAGAAGUACUCGAUGUAGAUGUUGAUGAUUGCGGCAUGGCCAUGUGGGAGUACAUGAGAAUGAAAGUUUGA
RNAcentral lists this ribosomal RNA (465 nucleotides) under Triticum aestivum (bread wheat). RNAcentral describes it as "partial small subunit ribosomal RNA". Lineage: Eukaryota; Viridiplantae; Streptophyta; Magnoliopsida; Poales; Poaceae. The record is from RNAcentral.